UCCAGACUCCUACGGGAGGCAGCAGUGGGGGAUAUUGCACAAUGGGGGAAACCCUGAUGCAGCGACGCCGCGUGAGUGAAGAAGUAUUUCGGUAUGUAAAGCUCUCUCAGCAGGGAAGAAAAAAGACGGUACCUGACUAAGAAGCCCCGGCUAACUACGUGCCAGCAGCCGCGGUAAUACGUAGGGGGCAAGCGUUAUCCGGAUUUACUGGGUGUAAAGGGAGCGUAGACGGCAAUACAAGUCGGAAGUGAAAUACCCGGGCUCAACCUGGGAACUGCUUUGGAAACUGUAUGGCUGGAGUGCUGGAGAGGUAAGCGGAAUUCCUAGUGUAGCGGUGAAAUGCGUAGAUAUUAGGAGGAACACCAGUGGCGAAGGCGGCUUACUGGACAGUAACUGACGUUGAGGCUCGAAAGCGUGGGGAGCAAACAGGAUUAGAUACCCUCGUAUG
RNAcentral lists this ribosomal RNA (448 nucleotides) under uncultured bacterium. RNAcentral describes it as "bacterial SSU rRNA". It matches the Rfam family "Bacterial small subunit ribosomal RNA", at positions 330 to 793 of the family's 1533-position model. The record is from RNAcentral.